GUGGAAGGUUCUUGUGGAGUAUUGGGGAUGUGAGCAAGCACAGGAACGUAGUGUGACAAAUCGUGCCAAUCGAGAUAAGCAAAAGAUGGGUCACACCAGCGGUAGGCGAUCACAUCCUCAGGUUAGACACCAGAUGACUAUUGAAAGUGGAGAUGAGCCAGAUAGAAUCAAGCUCUUUAGAAAGACACACACCAAAAAGAGCGGAGAGAUAGUAGACUCUACAUCUUCAUAUAUAAUU
Diospyros lotus (date-plum) is the source of this 238-nucleotide long non-coding RNA. RefSeq lists it as uncharacterized. The record is from RefSeq and is a predicted model, not a curated record. NCBI's taxonomy places the organism in Eukaryota, Viridiplantae, Streptophyta, Magnoliopsida, Ericales, Ebenaceae. The transcript has 3 exons.